Molecule: ribosomal RNA, 495 nt
Filed under: Triticum aestivum (bread wheat)
Lineage: Eukaryota; Viridiplantae; Streptophyta; Magnoliopsida; Poales; Poaceae
Description: partial small subunit ribosomal RNA
Source: RNAcentral
AUGCCAUUUGUUGCACGCCAUUUGGAUGAGCCCUCAAUGGUUCGCCAUUGCCUUCGACCCGCGCUGCAUGUAGACGCCUUUGAAGUAGGGGUCGACGAGUUUGCGCUCGUCGAACUCGGCCUUGAUGCGCUCCCAAUACAUGUCGAUGCUCUGGUUCGUGCCGGUGAUCGGGUCGAGGCAAACGACUUUUCACGCUUCGGCGAGGCACUCGUCCUUUUUGGAUGCCCACUUGAUGCGCGGCUCGCCGGUCCUGGCCGCCCGCUUCUUCUUCUUCUUCCCUUUUCUCGCCGGAGCAGGCGCCGGCUCCUCCUCGUCCUCCUCCUCCUCCUCCUCUGGCUCCUCCUCGCCGUUCAUGUCGCCGUUGAGGUCCAUUGUGUCCUCUUGGGCAGUGAACCCGGGGGAGGUGGUGGCGGCGACCGAGCCGGUCGUGAUGAUGUCGUCCAUGUCGGCCUCCGUCGCGUCGGUGUCGUCGAGAUGCGACGAGGAGGCUUGUGA